RNAcentral lists this ribosomal RNA (448 nucleotides) under uncultured bacterium. RNAcentral describes it as "SSU rRNA". It matches the Rfam family "Bacterial small subunit ribosomal RNA", at positions 26 to 518 of the family's 1533-position model. The record is from RNAcentral.
AGAGCGAACGCUGGCGGCAGGCUUAACACAUGCAAGUCGAGCGGGCGUAGCAAUACGUCAGCGGCAGACGGGUGAGUAACGCGUGGGAACGUACCUUUUGGUUCGGAACAACCCAGGGAAACUUGGGCUAAUACCGGAUAAGCCCUUACGGGGAAAGAUUUAUCGCCGAAAGAUCGGCCCGCGUCUGAUUAGCUAGUUGGUGAGGUAAUGGCUCACCAAGGCGACGAUCAGUAGCUGGUCUGAGAGGAUGAUCAGCCACAUUGGGACUGAGACACGGCCCAAACUCCUACGGGAGGCAGCAGUGGGGAAUAUUGGACAAUGGGCGCAAGCCUGAUCAAGCCAUGCCGCGUGAGUGAUGAAGGCCCUAGGGUUGUAAAGCUCUUUUGUGCGGGAAGAUAAUGACGGUACCGCAAGAAUAAGCCCCGGCUAACUUCGUGCCAGCAGCCGC